Molecule: ribosomal RNA, 499 nt
Filed under: uncultured bacterium
Lineage: Bacteria
Description: partial 16S ribosomal RNA
Rfam family: Bacterial small subunit ribosomal RNA
Source: RNAcentral
GACGAACGCUGGCGGCGUGCCUAAUACAUGCAAGUCGAGCGAAGUUUUUCUGGUGCUUGCACUAGAAAAACUUAGCGGCGAACGGGUGAGUAACACGUAAAGAACCUGCCUCAUAGACUGGGACAACUAUUGGAAACGAUAGCUAAUACCGGAUAACAGUAUUUCUCGCAUGAGAGAUAUUUAAAAGUUGGUUAUGCUAACACUAUGAGAUGGCUUUGCGGUGCAUUAGCUAGUUGGCGGGGUAAAGGCCCACCAAGGCGACGAUGCAUAGCCGACCUGAGAGGGUGAUCGGCCACACUGGGACUGAGACACGGCCCAGACUCCUACGGGAGGCAGCAGUAGGGAAUCUUCCGCAAUGGGCGAAAGCCUGUCGGAGCAACGCCGCGUGAGUGAAGAAGGAUUUCGGUUCGUAAAGCUCUGUUGUUAGGGAAGAAUGGAUAUGUAGUAACUAUACAUGUAAGAGACGGUACCUAACCAGAAAGCCACGGCUAACUACGUG